Molecule: ribosomal RNA, 272 nt
Filed under: Metamycoplasma hominis
Lineage: Bacteria; Bacillati; Mycoplasmatota; Mycoplasmoidales; Metamycoplasmataceae
Description: Mycoplasma hominis partial 16S ribosomal RNA
Rfam family: Bacterial small subunit ribosomal RNA
Source: RNAcentral
CUAAAAGAUGAGGGUGCGGAACAUUAGUUAGUUGGUGAGGUAAUGGCCCACCAAGACUAUGAUGUUUAGCCGGGUCGAGAGACUGAACGGCCACAUUGGGACUGAGAUACGGCCCAAACUCCUACGGGAGGCAGCAGUAGGGAAUAUUCCACAAUGAGCGAAAGCUUGAUGGAGCGACACAGCGUGCACGAUGAAGGUCUUCGGAUUGUAAAGUGCUGUUAUAAGGGAAGAACAUUUGCAAUAGGAAAUGAUUGCAGACUGACGGUACCCAA